RNAcentral lists this ribosomal RNA (375 nucleotides) under uncultured organism. RNAcentral describes it as "partial 16S ribosomal RNA". It matches the Rfam family "Bacterial small subunit ribosomal RNA", at positions 527 to 896 of the family's 1533-position model. The record is from RNAcentral.
GUAGGGGGCAAGCGUUGUCCGGGAAUUAUUGGGGCGUAAAGCGCGCGCAGGCGGUCUCUUAAGUCUGAUGUGAAAGCCCACGGGCUCAACCGUGGAGGGUCAUUGGAAACUGGGAGACUUGAGUGUAGGAGAGGAAAGUGGAAUUCCACGUGUAGCGGUGAAAUGCGUAGAUAUGUGGAGGAACACCAGUGGCGAAGGCGACUUUCUGGCCUACAACUGACGCUGAGGCGCGAAAGCGUGGGGAGCAAACAGGAUUAGAUACCCUGGUAGUCCACGCUGUAAACGAUGAGUGCUAGGUGUUAGGGGUUUCGAUGCCCUUAGUGCCGAAGUUAACACAUUAAGCACUCCGCCUGGGGAGUACGGCCGCAAAGGCUG